GGGCGGCGGGCGAUGGGGAGCAGCGGGCACGGCGAGCCGGGCCUGGGCACGGCGCCGAGGGAGAGCCGGGCGGAGCGGCCCCGGCUCUGUGAAUAGCCAGAAGCGGCUUGUGUCGCAGGUGACUGAGAUGAACAUACCAAGUUGGAGCAUUUCUCUUCAAUGAUGCUGCUUUGGAGCAGAGGGAACAGAAAAUAAUGCAGUGAAAAGGGAUCUGGAUAGCUAGGGAUCAAAAUAGUGAUCUGAAAAAAAAAAAAAAAAAUCAAACCAAAGCAAACCUGCAUAGUUCUGAAAUGAGAUCUCACUGCUAAUUGAAAAACUUAUCGUGUAUUGCAAUUGCUUCUUUUAUUUUCUUUCAGGUUUUUGGCUACAUACCCUGAUAUUCAUUGAACAGCUCUGAAAUUAGAAGAGUUGUGCCUUCUGCCUGUUUGUGAAUUCUGACAGAUAAAAGUUUUGAAAUAUGUUGGCUUCAGCAAAGUCAGGAUGGAGUGAUGCAGAAUUCAGUGUCUCUCUGAAUUCAUUUUAAGACUAAAGAUUUUAGUUUUACAAACAUGUUUGUUUUUUUAUUAAAAUAAAAAAAUGUAAUACAUAACAGUAUGGUUAAGAAGCCAGGUUUUAUUACCUGGCCUCAAUCACAGAGUAAGAUUACUGAAGAUUACUGUUGCACAGCAUGAGGCAAUAUGCACUCAUGAAUAGCCGGUGUUAUAUGUGAGGAUAUAUUGGGAUUCCGUCUAUUUUAAAAUAAUAUUCUCUCUUGCAUGAGUGUUCAGUGAGGUUUCUCUUCCCAAAGCAAACCUUCAUGGAAGAAGAGGAAAUUGCACUAGGUGGUUAGUGUAUAAACUAGCUCAUUUUUGCUAGCUGUAGGGUAUUGUUAAGUAUGAGCUGUUUUUAUUUAAACUUAGCUAAUUUUAUUUAAAAUACCUUCUGUUCAUUUACUCUAAAGCUGUAUCCCCAGACUCAUUAAGAAGAGUUUAAUGAGGUAGAAAUCCAUUUAAAAUGAGAGAUUUUUCCAUAUAUAUUUGUGAUAUAAAUUGAUUGUUACGGAAAAUGGAUUAUGCUACAGUUUGAGCACAUUAUGUAAGAUUAUAAAGGGAUAUUAAUAUACAAGGAUAUUAAUUGUUCUUUGUUGCAGUACCGUUAUUUACAUCAGGAUUUGAUGGAGAACACUUAUUCAUGUCCUCAGAAUUGCUAGUUGAAAUGGUGAUUAGUUGGAAGAAAGAAGAUACUGCUGUACAGCGAUGUGGGUAUAGAGAGGUUUAGGUGGUGGUGUUAGAAUCAUGUUAUUGUCUAAGUAGCAGACACAUUAUGAUGACUAUAUUUAGUACUGGCUUCUCUUAUUCAAAGUGCUGUCCAGACAUUAAGGUCAGGAGUAUGUCUGCCUCCCAACCAUUGUUCUUCCUCCAGAAGUAUUUAAAAAGGAAAGUGGAGAGAGGACAUAAGGAAUUUCCUUGGUAGAAGUCAAGCAGCUGAAAUUAGAUGGAGUAGCAGUUCUCAGAGACCACAGCUUUGCACAGUGCCUGUGUAAAGCUACAAGAAAUAGCUCAUCCACAGAAGACAUGGGGUGAAGACUCAUCAAAUUUACUUUCCAAACAGAUCCCCAGAUAUGUUUAGCUUCCAAAAGAAGCAUUGCAGACUUCUGGGGGAAAAUGAGAGGAAGAGAUGACACUGAUUUUUAUCAUUCUGGUUUCUACCAUAGCUCUGAGGAAGGUUGUGUCUUCUUUGGCCCUGGCUUUGUAGCUUCAGAGUUGGUACACCUCUUCAGCUUUUCCAGCAGAACCAGCUUACCGUUCCCACAAAUGUUAGAAUUGUUUCCAGUGAAGGCUGGUAUUUGUGUUGUGGAAGAGCAGUCCUGUGAUUUGAGCAGUUGAUUUUAUGAUUGUUUAACAUUACUAUAGACAAAAAUGCAUCAAUAGCUUCUACGAGUUGGAACCUGAGUUUCCAUGUUUUCAAUAGAUGCCAUAUGUAAAAUUAUCAGAUUAUUGGCAUAAAGUAUGCAGCAAAAAUGAAAUACAUUAUUAAAAAUAAACUAGUAUUUUGUGUAGUCCUUCAUACAAUUACAAAACAGGUACUGAAAUGUGUUCAAUUAGAGUAAUCAAAAGUUAAUUAAAUUUCUGAACAACAUAACAAAUUCAGUGUGAAGGCUGUGUCAGGCACAAUUACAGCUUUUCUAAGUGAGAAGGGGAAAUUUGGCUCUAUGAGAAAGGUAGCCAGAUAAAGACAUGCAAUCUGCUUGCUUACUAUGAUUGCCUAAAGGAAAUAAGAGCACUAUUAAUCACAGUUUCUCUAAAGGCGUCAGGCAUGUUCAUUUGCCUGUGACAUUUAACUACUGUGUUUUUUCCCUGUUUGGGUGUCUCUUUUACCAAACCUUUGCAUGAUUGACAGACACAGUUAAAAAGACUUCUGUAUCCUGCUCCAAUGAAAUCGACAGAGCAGUGGGACUAGCCUACCUACAGUAUGUAGCAGAGGUUCUAAUUGUAACAUCUCAUGCUGGUUAGAAGUAAACAAUUUUUUUCACAGCUGAGCUAAUUUAAUAAAUCACAGUCCUGAACCUUUCUUAUGCAGAGUCAACCUUGACUUUCAGCACAAUACUCAAUUCUAGAAUUCAGAGGGGUGUUGUACCUAGCCACCAAAUUUGACUCCUGGAAGAGUCCCUCACAGGUCAGCAGUUCUGUGCUCUUCUUAGCAAUAGUACUGCCACAUCCAGGCUGAUCCCUGCAGGCACAUUCAAAUGUCUUUGUACUUGCUUCCCUGGUCUCUGGAGUUUGGAAUCUGGGUUCUACACACUGGGAGUGCGUGGAAAUUACUUGGAUGUAGAACAGUAAGUGAAGCAGUGGUGAGGGAAGAGGCGCCCACCCAGGUAUAGAAGGCUCACCCUACGGUCACAGGCCUGCAGCAAAUGGGGAGGAGUGCUGAAUGAGAGUCAGGAGCUGUACGGGCUGUUCGCCAUCCCUGAGGAAGCUCGGUACCCCUACUCAGGCCAGCUUUGAUCAGUGAAACUCGGCUCCUUGUGCUCCAUACGGAGCUGCUGACCGCCCGCCUGCGCAGAGCCCAGCACUGGUCUGGCAGUGUGGUGGGUGGCAGUUCUGCUUUGCUUCCAGCCCCCGAGCUGACCCCUGCCUGACUGCUAGAUGGGUGUUGCAAACUGGGUUCUUCCUAAUGGAGGGAGGUAUUUAGGCCGGGCCGUUGCAGGUGCUGUGGAGCACAGUUCCUACAUUCUUUAGGCCCCACCUUCAGGGUAGGUUUGGUGCAGACUUGAGGUGACUCCACCAAGUGCUUGUGCUGUACUCUGCAGCCCCUGUCAUGUGAAAGAAUUAAUCUGUUCUCUUCCCUAGGUAUUGCUGCAUCACUGCUCUCUGCCUCUCAAACACUUCUGCUAUAAUAAUUGGUACUACAGAGGUGUGUGUUUGAUAGUUAAUUUUUUUUUCAUUUACAGUGAGAAAUUUUAGUGGUAAUUUGAGGGUGUUGGUAAAGACAAAAAUGUAUCAGUAUCUUCUAGGAUCUGGAACUUCGGUUUCCAUGUCUUCGGUAGUUGCCAUACGUAAAACAAUCAGAGUAUUGGUAUAAAACUGCAUCGUGUUACUAGAAUUGUACAUGGAUUGAGACAUGGCUUCUCUAUGUUGCUUUCACAAACAGUGUGAAGGGCCAUUUAAUAUUCUCUAUCUACCUGGAGGACUCCUUGCCUCCAGUUACUGUUGAGUGUACAGGCAUAACCAGUGCAUGUCAUUUUUUUUGCAUUUACACAGAUGACUUUCAAAAUAAAACUUACCACAGCUUCAGGCCAAAAUCUUUCUCCUUGAGCCACAGCUCCUAUCAUUUUUUUCCCCUCAGGCAUACUGAUCCUUAGCUAGUCAGGAAAGCAUGCACACAAAUGAUAGGUCAUUAGGAAAUUCUCUGAAUAGCAAACCUCUGAAGUCAUCCCAAGUGUGAUUUGCCAUGCAUCAUGCUAAAACUGGGUAAGUUUGAGGAGGCACUAAUUACAUGCUUGGGCUGUCAUUUAUCAGUUGUCGGAGCUGUUGUUCCCAGAACACAGCAACCUCUUUUGUGGCAUAGUUCAACAAGAUUGCCAGAGCUCAAUGAGCAAAGCAGGGUUGACAGAUUUUGGCAUUUUAUUCCCUUCAAUGUAAAAUCAUUGCAUUACAACACAAAUGGGUAUCUCACUUUGGCAUAACACAGCAUCAUAUACAGAUACAAUAAUGUUGAUCUAUGGGCUUUUCUUAAAAUUAUAUUUUGGAAACUCAUUCCCUUUUAGAACAAAUGGCAACUGUAGCAGUUUCAUUUACCAUCAGCCUUUUUGAUAUUUUGUUUCAGUUAAUACAAUAGUGUAUAAUAUGUAAUCCUUUCAUGAUUUUAACCAAAAUAAAUAGAAGGUGAACUUGUUUCCCCUCAGGGCUUGUGGGAAAAAAAGGAGAUGUUUAAUGCUGUGAGCUAAGUAAUAGAAGAUUGUAAAUUCUAAUGAAUAUUCAUGACAUCAUAUAAGGUAACAGAGCACGUGUCAAGAAAUAAUGUGGCUUCCUGCUAGGACUUCCAGUGUGGUUUAACAUGUUUCAGAGAGCUUGUAUUGUCAAUAAUUGUUUUUAAAUAUUUAAUUUUCACACUUUCUUAAAGCACAGAUUUUUUAAAAUGCAUGUUUCUGAAUUCAUUUGGGGUGAUAUUAUUACUUUAUUAUUUGAUACCUCCAAAGCACUGCAAUGAUGAAAAGGAUAUUUUUUCCACAUAAUCUUGGGGUUUUUCUUAAGCUGCCAAAGGUUCACAGUUACUUUCUUUCACAAUAGAUACUAAAUAGCUGCUACAGAGUGCAAGUAAAACAGUUUAUCGUCAAUAUUUGAUGUUCUAACAGAAUAGAAAAAUGGUAUUUGGUGUAAUUUAAAGAGCUUUUUAUUUCACAGAUAAUUCUGGGAACUGCUGGAGGCUCACAUUUUUAUGAAUAAUUGGAUAAAACAAUUACUCUAACUUGGGAUGUUUUAAUAUCAAUUACAGAUAUUUAAUCUUCCCCUGGAUAUUCUGUUGCCUAUAGGACAAAAAAUAAUUGUGUCUUCAUAGUGACAGUUUGAGUGAGGGCCACAUCCAGAUUGAAAAUACCUUCAUUUUGGUGCCCACAAAUAAAUUCCAGCAGAAAUAUGAGGUGUUUUGACUCGUACUGUAGAAAACUCAGAUAUAGUUAAUGUACUCUGGAGCUUAGGGAAUGACUCAGCUCAAUUUCAGGUGAACCUCUAGGCUACGUAUGUACUAGGAAGUUAAUCGCAGGAAAUAUUCUUGGACACUGCAACUCAUCUUUACUUUUAAUAGUUCCUGACAUACUUUUUGCCAGGGCUCACUCACUAACAAAAUAAUUCUGGACCUGGUUCAGCAGUUAAGAUGGGCCAGAGCCCAUUCUCAAGAGAUGGGUUGCAUGACACCACCCUGCUUGGCAAACCUCCUUUUUCUAACAACUUUGAGUCCUGAGUGUGAGCUAAUAAGCCAAUUGCUGAAUUUAACAAUCACUUAGUGUCAAAACAAUUUUGUAUUUUCUAUCAAUAGUCCCUUGAUUUCCUAUAAUACUGUUCUAUUUCUUCAUGUCAAAGUUUGAUUAAAUUGGUAUUUCAAAAAGUACAGUGCAGUCCUUAAGUGGCAGUAAUUAGAAGAAUGCAGAUUAAACUUAUUUCUGUGGUUGAGUUGGUUUUCAGAACUUAAGUUUUGAGAUCCACAGGCCAAGAGCUUUCCUGAAGAAUUCACUAGAAAAUUGCCUUCCUCUGAACCAAUUACAAUGAGAAACCUAGUUACUUUGUUGUAGGGAGCCAUGAACCCAGUCCCGCUUCUCUUCAUGCCCAGGUAGCUGGGAUGGAGAAGAAAGCAAAGGUAAAUUCUCUGAAUUGUGAAGACCUUGUUCAGCUUCUUCUAAAAGUUAAAUUUCAAAGGAUCUCUGCUUCAGGCUGUUAUUUCCUUGGCCUAAGCUUCCUAUAAAGGAGAAAAUAGGCAAGUUAUAAACAUGCCUAUCUUCACUCCUUGUGCUAGGAACAUCAGUUGGCUCUGCUCUGCCUAAAGCAGCCUACUGUUUGACAUUAAAUGAUAUUAGCAUAAUUUAAAAACUGAGGCACUGUGUGUCUCUCUUUGGGGGGUAAAUCAGUAAUAGUAACAUUUCAGCAUAGGAGAUCAGAAAUCAGAAACUAGAUUAUGUUCCUGGAUCUGCUUCUGGCUCAGUGUAGAACCCUGAAGAAGAGUUACUUUCCUUCACAUUUGAGGAUUAACCAGAGGAUUGCAUCCUACGAAUCAGCUGCUCUGGGGCCACAAUGGUAGAGUGCCUCACAGUUUUAUAUGCUAGUGCUUCAAACAGGGUACAGAGACACAAGAAGUGUUCUUGGCCCACAUUUAUUUUCAUCUGAGAUGUGUCCUUGCAGACCAAAACACUCUGGAGCAGGUUGCUCCUGGCAUAAUUGUGGAACUGGUCCAUAUACACCCAAAGUACAUCGGUGCCCUUCUGAAAUACCUUGCACUGCUAGUUUACUGGGAAUUAGGAGGUAAGUAUUGAAUGGCCACGGAGCAAAACUGAACUGGUUUGGAACAUGAACCGGAUUUUUAAAAUAAUUACUACACAGCAAAAACACUGAAAGUUGAUGUAAUGUCUCAGUCUCAUUGGUCGAGUAAGAUUAAUUUGCUAUACGGAACUCAUUCAGACUGAAGGUUUUUGAUCUUAAACAUGCUUUCUGUGAAGCAUAAGCUCAUUACUGAUAAAAUUGAAUGAAGAACAGAAUUAAAAAUAUUUCAGAAACUGAAACUGUGACUGAAUGUCAUUAUGACUCAGACCAAUGGUGUCAAAUGGUUUACUGAAGCUUUAAGGACAGUGACCAUUUUUUUAUUGUGUAUUUAUACAAUGUCUAAUUCAAUAGGGCUCUUUCUGCCCCUGGGACUCUUAUCAUUGCAAUUUAUCUCCAUUACUGGAAGAAAAAAAAAAAAAAGGAAAGAAGAAGGAAAGAAAAUGCCAGUUUUCCUUCAAUGCUUGUAAAAUGUAUGGUAAACAUUAAGAAUAAUUAAAAAAAAAAUCAAAACCUGUGUUCUCUUCAAGUAUGGAAAUACUGUUAAUUGGAGUUAAUUAUAUUCAUGCAAGGAAUAUCUAUAUAUCAGGUACCUACAAAAAAUUAUGUGGCUUUGUUACUGAAGGGUAUAUUCAACAAAAUAAAUCCCUUCAUUUUCUGCACCACUUGCUUAGGGCUGGAGAAAUUGCUGUAAUAUCAGCUUCAUCUUCAACAGGAUGUGACUGUUACUAUAGUAAGCAAUAUUAACCUGAAGAACUUGAUGACUGACUUCAGAAGAAUUUAGUGAUAAUUUGAAUAAGGUUUCCAUCUUUUCUUGACUUGGAAGGACUGCACUGAUUAAAAUGUCCACAUGAAAGCAAUAUACAAACUAAAUUGGGCUCAAUAUUGCCAGGCCUUCUUCCUCAUUUAGCAAAAUAGAACUAAAGGAGACAAUUUCUUUCUCAAUUUAAGGUUUGGCAGAGCAUUCACACAGGGUUGAGCUACUUUUGUGUUGUUUUAUUUAUCAAAAAUAUUAAUACACAUGAUAAAGAAAAA
Molecule: long non-coding RNA, 7541 nt
Organism: Tyto alba (common barn owl)
Lineage: Eukaryota; Metazoa; Chordata; Aves; Strigiformes; Tytonidae
Exons: 3
Source: RefSeq, a predicted model, not a curated record